AAAGGAAGGAACUGUGGCUGAGGAAUGGAUCAAUGGCAAAGGGAAAGAAAGGGAGAUAGUUGUUACUGUUUUGAGGAAUGGAAAAAAUGAGUUACUAGCCAAAUGUGAAGGAAAGGAACUGUGGUUGAGGUAAGGAAGGUUAAUAAUGGAGGGUUGAGGAAUGGAUCAAUGAGAAAGGGAAAGAAAAGGAAAUGCUCUUUGCUGGUGUUUUGGGGAAUGGAAAAAUGAGUUACAAGCCAAAUGAGAAGGAAAGGAACCAUGGACAGAGAGAGGAAGGUUAAUAAUGGAAAGUUGGAAAGUUUCGUUUAGUCGGCGCAACAUCUGUGGUCAUAUGCCGGGGAGAUACAGAAGGGGAAGGAAUUAUAGAAGGGAACAGAUCCCAGGAGACGGGACACAACUCCCAAUUAAUACCUGGUACCCAUUCACUGCUGGGUGGACAGGGGCGUAGGGUAUCGGAAAAGCUGCCCAAAUUUUUCCACUCCGCCUGGGAAUCGAACCCGGGCUCUCUCAGUUGUGAGCGGAGUUAAUAAUGCAGUUAAUAAUGGAGGGUUGAAGAAGUGAGAAAUGGGAAAGGGAACGAAAGGGAGAUAGUCAUUACUGGUGUUUUGAGGAAUGUAAAAAUGAGUUACUAGCCAAUAGAAAAGAAAGGAACUGCUUGGAAAGAAAAAUACAGACUGAGAAAUAAGUCACAGGUCUAUUAGAAAGAUAAAUGCAGACCGAGAAAUUAGUCACAUAUAUUGGAAAGUCAAAUACAAACCGAGAAAUAAGUCACGUAUAUUGGAAAGUCAAAUACAAACCGAGAAAUAAGUCACGUAUAUUGGAAAGUCAAAUACAAACCGAGAAAUAAGUCACACGUAGAAAGAUUAACACAGACCAGAGUAAGUCGUAAGUUCCAAGUCCGGUAUUCUCAGACGCCUCCGACCCUCACAUCAACAACUUCCCAAGGCCACAAGGAAGAUCAAUCAGGUUCUCAUAAGUGUGUUUUCAGGUUCACGGUACAGAUGAAGGGUCAGACUACCACUAGGGUCAUAAAGUACAUGUGGAAAUGACCAGAUAAUGCACGGAAGACUUGAAUGUGUGCAAUUGGCCACCGGAAUGUUUAAGAGUAAGGGAAUUGCUCAUGAACCGACAGCCUUGAGUGCCGUAAUGAGCUUGAGUACGUGCGUUGGUGUCUGGUGGUGGUGUGACUCACUCCUUCCUGGGUGACGGGCGGCUGGGGGUGACGCGGCGGAUUCACUGACUAAGGCACGCUAAUCCUUUCAUUGACGGCCAGGAAGAGGAUCAAACGUAUACGCUUUCCUUGAAGGUUUUUGACCGCGACUUAUUUUUCUGGUUGCCUUUAUUCAUUUAUUUUUUAUCUUAUCUAUCUUUUUUUUAUGAUUUUAUGUUCGUUUUCUUUCUUUCUUCAUUUUCUUUGGGUGAUUAGUCGAUUGGGGUUUUAGGUGUGUGUGUGUGUGUGUGUGUGUGUGUGUGUGUGUGUGUGUGUGUGUGUGUGUGUGUGUGUGUGUGUGUGUGUGAGAUUUAU
This is a long non-coding RNA of Eriocheir sinensis (Chinese mitten crab), 1525 nucleotides long. RefSeq lists it as uncharacterized. Lineage: Eukaryota; Metazoa; Arthropoda; Malacostraca; Decapoda; Varunidae. The transcript has 2 exons. The record is from RefSeq and is a predicted model, not a curated record.